ACACUCCUACGGGAGGCAGCAGUGAGGAAUAUUGGACAAUGGGUGGAAGCCUGAUCCAGCCAUCCCGCGUGCAGGAAGACGGCCCUAUGGGUUGUAAACUGCUUUUAUCUGGGGAUAAACCUACUUACGUGUAAGUAGCUGAAGGUACCAGAAGAAUAAGCACCGGCUAACUCCGUGCCAGCAGCCGCGGUAAUACGGAGGGUGCAAGCGUUAUCCGGAUUUAUUGGGUUUAAAGGGUCCGUAGGCGGACUGAUAAGUCAGUGGUGAAAUCCGACAGCUUAACUGUCGAACUGCCAUUGAUACUGUUAGUCUUGAGUAAGGUUGAAGUGGCUGGAAUAAGUAGUGUAGCGGUGAAAUGCAUAGAUAUUACUUAGAACACCAAUUGCGAAGGCAGGUCACUAAGUCUUAACUGACGCUGAUGGACGAAAGCGUGGGGAGCGAACAGGAUUAGAAACCCCAGUAGUCCCAUG
This 470-nucleotide ribosomal RNA is filed under the name uncultured organism. RNAcentral describes it as "partial 16S ribosomal RNA". It matches the Rfam family "Bacterial small subunit ribosomal RNA", at positions 333 to 799 of the family's 1533-position model. The record is from RNAcentral.